UCAUCAUACGUUUUUUCCCGUAGCAUUUGCUCAUUUCAGGUCUCUGUCACAUUUGGUAGUCCUCACAAUAUUUCAAAUUUUCUUCUUCUUCUUAUUUUUGUUAGGUGACCUGUGACCAAUGAUUACAACUCACCGAAAGCUCAGUCUGGAACCAAACCCACGGUAUCUCUGAGGUCUGUCUGUACACAGAUGUGAUUUGUGAUAAUAACACCGCAGAGGACAGGGAGGGAAAGGCACUGUAGGACAACAAGAUCUUUGCGUGCUACGGAAAGUAAAUCGGUAUUAAUCUGAGCUAGCUUCUUAUGUGUUAAGAGGAACCAGAUAUCCUUUCAGGAACCAUGGAGGCAGCAAAGAACAAGCCGAAGUCUCCCCCUCAUGGAGCUUUUGUUCUGUUGGGAAAAGAGCCUGUUUUCUGGAUCUAGCAUCAACCAGUGCCAUUAAGAACAUCAUGCUUCCAUGAUCAAAAGCGAAACAAUCACCAACUCCUGAACCGCAGCCAGAAUGAUGAAGUAGAUCCAGAUGUCACAGAUCUGAAGCCAAAUGUUUACGUCACAUCUUAAAAACAAUCGGUAUUGAGUCCCGUGAAGCUAUGGAGCCAUACAUCAGGUACUUUUGUGUAUCAAGGAAACAGAGGGUGAUGCUGGCUUUAUAUAGAAAGGUAAUGAAAUAAAUGUCCACAACGUAACUGAAUUUAUGUUGACUCUCUCCCAAAGCCUAACGUUUUCAGUCCAUUGAGGCCAAUUUUUCCAGAACCUACCCUCUCCCCUGGCAUAAAGGUUUCAGUUGAAUCUGCAAUGAUUGAGUGGCAAAAUAAUAUUUGUUUUGAAAAAAGAAUAUACCAUUGAAACUAAGUUUGUGUUAAU
Long non-coding RNA from Acinonyx jubatus (cheetah), 863 nucleotides. RefSeq lists it as uncharacterized. The record is from RefSeq and is a predicted model, not a curated record. The transcript has 5 exons. Lineage: Eukaryota; Metazoa; Chordata; Mammalia; Carnivora; Felidae.